Anguilla anguilla (European eel) is the source of this 2070-nucleotide long non-coding RNA. RefSeq lists it as uncharacterized. The record is from RefSeq and is a predicted model, not a curated record. The transcript has 2 exons. NCBI's taxonomy places the organism in Eukaryota, Metazoa, Chordata, Actinopteri, Anguilliformes, Anguillidae.
GGAGAAGCGCGCAGAAAGACUGCUUUUGGGAUGAUAGAGGACACGCUGGCAAUCGCUACACCAACAGAAGCUGCUAAAGUUAAAUAAAACGAUGAAGUCAGAAAGUAGUUACUAUAAACUUAGUGAACGGGUUUACUUCGGCAUAACCGUAGCUGCCUUACGGGCGUUAGUUAGGUUUUAAAACUUCGGUGAGUUACAAACUCGGGGUUGAAAAAAAAUAUUCGCCUCUAACUUUAUCUUCUUAUAUGCUUAAAGCCCAGAUUUGCUGGUAGCUUUUUAAUGACUCAGUAAAGAGUCACUUUGCACUAAAUAGUGAAUGACCAUUUGUAUAUUUUGUUCUUUUUGUGGUUAAAUUAAAAGAUCCGUUUAUGUUGCACUAAAUGUAAUGGGGAGAAACUGGUUAGCUAAGGGGCAUUGCAGUGCAUACCACAGCACAUUCCUAUGCUACGCUUUAAUUGUAGCGCCUCGUGGUUCGUGCUGGGCGCCACCAUUUUAGAACCAUAUGGGACACGCCAUCAUUGGUCAGGUUUUUUUUCUGGUUUAUUUGUUUGAAUCCGCCCUGCUCUGGUUAUCCAAGGAUGGCGAGCCAACCGUUGUGAAACUUGGGACCCUGGAUUUUGUUUUGAUUUUCCUUGGAUGGACUCUGAGCAGUAACCACUCUCUCCCGUGUGGUAGGACUGUGUUGCACUUUCACUCUCUGACCUGCUACAAGCAGUGCAGUUCUGGACAACUGACACCUACACACUAAGACACACUUUGUGUCUUUGGGACUGUUAAUAUACAAUUGUACAUGUUGAAUUUUGUGUUUAAUUGCACCAGUUUUAUUUUGAACGCAAGCGAUAAUUUUGAACUCCUGGGUGCAUAAUUGAUUGUUAUUGAUCUAUUGAUAACUGAACUGUUUUACUACUGCAACUAGGGUUUCUCAGUCAGGAUAGCGGGUGCACCCUCAGAUCAGAUAAUUGAUACCAGUCUUGUUGAUAUUCAUGGGCCUAUGCACAAUUCUGGUGUAAAGUUUUUAUUUUAGUAUUUUUAUUUUACAAUUUAAAAGUGACAAUAUAAGCCGGUUAAAAAGGUAAUCAGUGUGGUGUCAUCAUUUAUCCAUCAUCUGCUCCAGCAAGCGAACCUAACUGGUCCAAAUCUAAUUGUGGUUUUAACUAGGCUACUGUAUUAUACCACCAUCACCACAUAAGUGCUACACUAGCAAUAUCGGAAGAGCUAUCCUAAAAUUUCUUCUGCGGGCACUUUUUUAUUUUCUGCUGAAAAUGUUAGCAAAGCUACAGUAGGCUUAUGCUGAGCAAUUGCAAAAGUGUACCUUGCACACAAAAGGCAUAUCAGUGUGCUCAUCAGAUUUCUUGGCCAUGCAGGUGUGGUAAGUCCUGGAACUGCAAACACCCACGUUAAUAAAUUGUCACAUUCAACUCCUGCACUGGCCCUUGAGUCACCAAUAAUUCGCUUGCAGUGCACCCUUUGCACUGUAAAGGUCUGUAUUAUGCUUACACAAUAGAUCUUACGUGAUUGAUACAAUACCUUAUCAGUAACCUAAAGCUGUCUUUACGUCACAGUUACCUGUUAGUCGGCUGACCAUUUAAAUCAAAGAAUUGUGUUGGGCCAUGAUCCACAUCAUUAUACUAAUUUUUAUUUAUGCUCUUGGUUUUAUGUACAGUUAUGUGCAUGUAUAUGUACUGUAUGUAUACACUGUAAGAAAUCUGUCUCUGAUGCCAAUAUGUCUGCUGGCCACACAUUCCCUUGAUCUUAUUAUCACAAUACAGUUGGUACAAUGGUAGAAUAGCGGCCGGGAGUGAGAGAUUGGGAACCAUUCAAGUCAACUGACGUGCUGAUUCAAUCACAACAGGACAGCCAAUACACUAUGGCCUAAUUGAUAGGUGUUACAAGAACUGACUACAUCCAUCUUGGUAUGUGUAUUUAACACUCCUGAUCAAAGCUUCGAAAACAAAUAAGAAGCAGCCUCUGGAAAGGUUCUUGGUUCAGUCUGACUCUGCUGAAUCCAAGGUGUCAUUCGUGCGCUUUGUCACUGCCGGUAUUGGAAAUAAACUUUGUACUUUUUCAUCA